ACGACGUUCGUAGUUGGGCCCCGCGGAAAGGGAUCUGCUGUUGCCUUCUGCAUUGAGAGAGGUCCUCUCUCUCAAUCUCUCUGAGUUUGCUUGGUUUUCUUGCAGACGUUUCAUUAUCCAACCUAGGUAGCAUCAUGAGCGCUGAUGAUGUUACCUAGUUUGGGUAAUGAAACGCCUGCAAAAAAAAAAAUCAAGCUCAUGAGAGGAUCCCUCAUGUUAACCCUGAGCCAUAAAUAUUCUCCUUUAUUGGUGUUUUCUAAAUUGGUUAUUUUUUAACUUCUCACUCUAACCCUGGAAACAUCUCUGGUGACUUUCUAUCCAAAUCCUAGGAAAAGUUUAGAAAUAUUGAUGUUGACACAGCUGUUCUUCCUUAUUCAAAAAUGUUAUGAAGAUUCUGGAAUCAGAAUGCGCCUUGGACAAGUCUCUUCAAUUAUCUUCACAAGAUUUUUCAGCAAUAGUUUGCCAUUGCCUCCUUCCUAGGCUGAGAGUGAAUGACUGACGCAAGACCACCUACCAGCUUUGUGCUUAAGAUGGGACUAGAUCUUCUGGUUUCUAGUCUGAUGCCUCAACCACUGCACCAAACUUAUUAAAAUGUAAUUUUACAUAGUUUAAAUGCAAUAAGAAUUGUAUGUUAUUUCAAAAUAAGUAUGUAAAGGUUUGGAAUUAAAUUAAGAAAUAUGCACUCAGAUGGGAAAGGUAAAAUCAUCAUUGUUGGGGAGAUUUUCUGCAGUAUAGUGAAUGUACUAUCUAGAACGAUUCUUUGUUUUAAACAAUACCUGUUUUUACAAAUGAUGCACCUUUUAAACAAUAGCACAAGAUGUAUCUAGAUUUAUAUGGCAAGGAAAAAAACAAGGUUUAAAUAUAAAAUUCUCCAGGAUACAAACAAAAGAGGAGGAUUAAGAUUACCUGAUUUUAAAUUGUAGUUUGAAGCCUGUUGUUUAGUUUGAAUGAAAGAAUGGGUGAUUCUUGACCAAUAAGAGAAGUUUAGAACUAGAUAGGAAUGACCUGAGAUUUGAAUGGCAUGGUUUUUAUGAUAUGAUAAAGUUAAGGUAAAGGUAAAGGUUAAGAUUUCCCUUGUCCAUCUCUGGGGGGCAGUACUAAUUUCCGUUUCUUAGUCAAGGGAGCCAGCAUUGCCCAAAGACAUUUCCAUGAUCAUAGGGCCAACAUGGUAAAAGAACGCUGUUACCUUUCCAUCAAGGUGGUACCUAUUUAUCUACUUGCAUUUGCAUGGUUUCAACCUGCCAGGUGGGUGGGAGCUGGGGCAAGUAACGGGAGCUCACCCCAUCAUGCUGUGUCAGGGUCUCGAACCCAGGUUGAAGAUUUUAAAAAUCACUAUGUUAAGAAUAUGAAAUAGAUAUAAACCCAGGCUGUGCCAGAAAAUGCCUUUAUUUUUUACAGCACAAAGCAUUUUAUAAAAAAUAAACAACAAAGAAAAUAGUUAAUGUAUCAACCUUUGUUAGAGCAGGAACACAAAGAACUUAUGUUAAAAUCUAGAGAUCAAUUGACUGCAGCGGGAUUUAGUUUCUAAUAAUUUUACUAUGCACGAUUAAAAGAAAAAAAUUAAUGUAACUGAAAUUGAUGAUAACUGAAAAUGAACAACAUAAAAUGAAAUUUGAAAUGAAAUUAUACACAGAUAAUGAACAUGUAAUUGCUAAAAUGUAUAAACUUUUGCUGAGUCUUGAAAUGGAAGAACUGAUUAAAGAAUUCAUGAUAAAAUGGGCUAAGAAUUUUGGUUAUAAUAUAAUGUACACCAAUGGGAAAG
Molecule: long non-coding RNA, 1762 nt
Organism: Ahaetulla prasina
Lineage: Eukaryota; Metazoa; Chordata; Lepidosauria; Squamata; Colubridae
Exons: 3
Source: RefSeq, a predicted model, not a curated record